This 1244-nucleotide ribosomal RNA is filed under the name metagenome. Its description in RNAcentral is "bacterial LSU rRNA". It matches the Rfam family "Bacterial large subunit ribosomal RNA", at positions 1564 to 2818 of the family's 2925-position model. The record is from RNAcentral.
UGAAUACGAGACGCUAAGGCGUCGAAGUAGUGUAUGUCAUACUUCCAAGAAAAGCUUGCACUGUCAUAGAUAAAAAACGCCUGUACCAUAACCGACACAGGUGGGUAGGUAGAGUAUACUAAGGGGCGCGAGGUAACUCUCUCUAAGGAACUCGGCAAAAUAACUCCGUAACUUCGGGAGAAGGAGUGCCUUAUUCGUAAGGUUGCAAUAACAAGAUCCAAGCAACUGUUUAUCAAAAACACAGGUCUCCGCUAAGUCGUAAGACGAUGUAUGGGGGCUGACGCCUGCCCAGUGCCAGAAGGUUAAAGAAGUUGGUUAGCAAUUGCGAAGCUGAUAACUGAAGCCCUGGUGAACGGCGGCCGUAACAAUAACGGUCCUAAGGUAGCGAAAUUCCUUGUCGGGUAAGUUCCGACCCGCACGAAAGGCGUAAUGAUUUGGAUACUGUCUCGGAGAGGGGCUCGGUGAAAUAGACUUGUCUGUGAAGAUGCGGACUACCUGCACCAGGACAGAAAGACCCUAUGAAGCUUUACUGUAACUUGAAAUUGAAAUUGGACUUUAUUCGCGCAGCAUAGGUGGGAGGCGUUGAUUAUAAUCUUGCGGGAUUAUUGGAGCCAUCAGUGAGAUACCACUCUUGUAAUGUUAGAUUUCUAACUUUGAGUCAUUAUCUGGUCAAAGAACAGUUUCAGGCGGGCAGUUUGACUGGGGCGGUCGCCUCCUAAACGGUAACGGAGGCGUACAAAGGUUUCCUCUGAACGGUUAGAAAUCGUAUCUAGAGUGUAAAGGCAUAAGGAAGCUUGACUGUGAGACCUACAAGUCGAGCAGGGACGAAAGUCGGUCUUAGUGAUCUGACGGUACUGAGUGGAAAGGCCGUCACUCAACGGAUAAAAGUUACUCUAGGAUAACAGGCUGAUCUCCCCCAAGAGUUCACAUCGACGGGGAGGUUUGGCACCUCGAUGUCGGCUCAUCGCAUCCUGGGGCGGUAGUACGUCCCAAGGGUUGGGCUGUUCGCCCAUGAAAGCGGUACGCGAGCUGGGUUCAGAACGUCGUGAGACAGUUCGGUCCAUAUCCGGUGUAGGCGUUAGAAUAUUGAGAGGAGCCUUCUUUAGUACGAGAGGACCGAGAAGGACAUACCUCUGGUGUACCAGUUAUCGUGCCAACGGUAAACGCUGGGUAGCUAUGUAUGGAGUGGAUAACCGCUGAAAGCAUCUAAGUGGGAAGCCCACCUCAAGAUAAGUAUUCUCAUC